RNAcentral lists this ribosomal RNA (447 nucleotides) under uncultured bacterium. RNAcentral describes it as "bacterial SSU rRNA". It matches the Rfam family "Bacterial small subunit ribosomal RNA", at positions 329 to 792 of the family's 1533-position model. The record is from RNAcentral.
GUCCAGACUCCUACGGGAGGCAGCAGUGGGGAAUAUUGCACAAUGGGGGGAACCCUGAUGCAGCGACGCCGCGUGAGUGAAGAAGUAUUUCGGUAUGUAAAGCUCUGUUAGCAGGGAAGAAGAAAGACGGUACCUGACCAAGAAGCCCCGACUAACUACGUGCCAGCAGCCGCGGUAAUACGUAGGGGGCAAGCGUUAUCCGGAUUUACUGGGUGUAAAGGGAGCGUAGACGGCAUGGCAAGUCAGAUGUGAAAGCCCGGGGCUCAACCCCGGGACUGCAUUUGAAACUGUCAGGCUGGAGUGCAGGAGAGGUAAGUGGAAUUCCUAGUGUAGCGGUGAAAUGCGUAGAUAUUAGGAGGAACACCGGUGGCGAAGGCGGCCUGCCGGACUGUGACUGACGUUGAGGCCCGAAGGCGUGGGGAGCAAACAGGAUUAGAUACCCCAGUA